This is a long non-coding RNA of Cyprinus carpio carpio, 1592 nucleotides long. The record is from Ensembl. NCBI's taxonomy places the organism in Eukaryota, Metazoa, Chordata, Actinopteri, Cypriniformes, Cyprinidae.
AGAGUCAAGUUCAUUCCCUGUUAGCUCAGGGAAAAGAAUCAUUCUAAUCUCACAUUAAUCCCUUUUGAAUGAUCAUCACAUAUCCCAGAAUCCUCUCUGAGUGUCUGCCAGAAAUCAUGGCACCCACAGUCACCAGAGCCCCUGUCCCAACCACACUUUUUCAUUGCCAGCUCAGGUUUUCCUCUAAAGCUCUGGCUCAUGAUCAAUCCCUCAUUUCAGCAAGGACAGUUAAAUGAGAUGAUACCAUUUUAAUCUGUUGUCCUUUGCUUAAUAAGCACUGCUGUAUUUCCAAACUGCCCAGAAAAAGCCAUCCUUAAAGGCUCAUUUUUCCUUUAUAAAAUGGAAUUAUAAAACUUGUCUGGGAUGGAACUUUAACCAAUUACAACUCCACGUGUGCUGCCAGAGGUGUUUGACACCCGCCGCACAAGCCAUACUAAUCUCUCAGGAUUCAGGAAUAAGAAGAGUCGCCACUCCUAAUCACUCCCAGCUACUUACACGGCCGUAUAUACACUGGAUUAGCACUUGGCAAAGGCAAAAGGGCAGAUGAGUCAUUCAUCCUUCGUACCUGCGCCAUCACAGAACAAAUCACACCAAUGCAUGCCACUGUAACUCAGGAUCUGUGCACCAAGGCACCAAUCCUAAAAAACAACGUUUAUACACUGAGAGUAACAUGAAAAACCAGAACCCGUUCUGCUAGCCAGGGAAACAUUAUUACAGGAGAACUGCAGAAACUUUAAAGUUUAUCACAAUUAGCCAUAUGAAACAUAGUGAAGCAUAGUUUUUUUUUUUUUCUUCUUCUUUUCAAAACAGUUGAUAUAGUUGACUCUUUGUUAAGCUCCACACCCUUGGUUCUGUUGCUCAUUUAGAAAAACAUUACAAAUUGUCUCUCAUACAAAGCAACAGUUCUUAAAUUAUUACAAGAAUCUGAAAAGCACAUUUAGCAGGUGUUACUUGCAUUGUUACAUCCCCGUCACACCCUGUGCCAUGUGGUAAAGGGUAACGGCGCUACCUGUGGCUGAAUGUUUGCAGCCAUGUCCUUCAGAGAUCAUACAUAUUUAUGAGGGCAAUGUGCAACCCUUUAAUCCACCAUGAAAUCAACUGUCUGAAUACUUUAUCUAAUUAAAAUGGGCUAGAUUGUAUGCACGGAAUAGGAUUUAUUCAGUUAUAUUCUUUUAUAUCAGAUUUUCUUUUCUCAUUUUUCUUUUGUCUUAUUUUGUGUGUGGAUAUGAUGGUCAAUGCAGUUUUUUUCAACUUGCAACUUGUCAAUGUGCAAAAUGUGAUGUUCAUGAAAUAUCAAACAGGUGCUGCUAAAAUGCAUAAGUAAUAGCUUUACAGAUUUUACUGACAGCUGUACAUCAAUCGUCAAGUCCACAAAUGCCACCUUAUCUUAUGGCCCUGUUCUGAUGUCUUUCAUAGUUUUUGCAAAAUGUAAUCCAAAUGAACGAUUCUUACUUGUUUCUAAUUUCUGUAAAGAAAUCUGUUGUUUGGGACACAUAUUUCUAUUUUGUAACUGACCUUUGAAGGUUUUCUUUUGUAUCUUGUGGUUGUGGAUUGUGUACAAUGACUUAAUUAAACACCUUGAAUGAACUCAA